CAGAGGGUAGUUUAAAUUCAGAAUACUAGCUUUGGGUGCUAGCGGCGGGAGUCAAUCUCUUCCCUUUGG
RNAcentral lists this transfer RNA (69 nucleotides) under Stolephorus insularis. RNAcentral describes it as "tRNA-Pro". It matches the Rfam family "tRNA". From Rfam's summary of the family: Transfer RNA (tRNA) molecules are approximately 80 nucleotides in length. Their secondary structure includes four short double-helical elements and three loops (D, anti-codon, and T loops). Lineage: Eukaryota; Metazoa; Chordata; Actinopteri; Clupeiformes; Engraulidae. The record is from RNAcentral.